UACGGGGGGGGCAAGCGUUGUUCGGAAUUACUGGGCGUAAAGGGCUCGUAGGCGGCCAACUAAGUCAGACGUGAAAUCCCUCGGCUUAACCGGGGAACGGCCUCUGAUACUGGAUGGCUUGAGUUCGGGAGAGGGAUGCGGAAUUCCAGGUGUAGCGGUGAAAUGCGUAGAUAUCUGGAGGAACACCGGUGGCGAAGGCGGGUUGCUGGGCCGACACUGACGCUGAGGCGCGAAAGCCAGGGGAGCGAACGGG
Molecule: ribosomal RNA, 253 nt
Filed under: uncultured bacterium
Lineage: Bacteria
Description: partial 16S ribosomal RNA
Rfam family: Bacterial small subunit ribosomal RNA
Source: RNAcentral